This 306-nucleotide ribosomal RNA is filed under the name uncultured bacterium. Its description in RNAcentral is "partial 16S ribosomal RNA". It matches the Rfam family "Bacterial small subunit ribosomal RNA", at positions 507 to 807 of the family's 1533-position model. The record is from RNAcentral.
GACAGCAGUAGCCGCGGUAAUACGUAGGUGGCAAGCGUUGUCCGGAAUUAUUGGGCGUAAAGCGCGCGCAGGUGGUUUAAUAAGUCUGAUGUGAAAGCCCACGGCCCAACCGUGGAGGGUCAUUGGAAACUGUUAAACUUGAGUGCAGGAGAGAAAAGUGGAAUUCCUAGUGUAGCGGUGAAAUGCGUAGAGAUUAGGAGGAACACCAGUGGCGAAGGCGGCUUUUUGGCCUGUAACUGACACUGAGGCGCGAAAGCGUGGGGAGCAAACAGGAUUAGAUACCCCGGUAGUCCCUGUCUCUUAUAC